This 87-nucleotide non-coding RNA is filed under the name bacterium CG2_30_33_46. RNAcentral's name for it is "Bacterium CG2 c-di-GMP sequence". It matches the Rfam family "Cyclic di-GMP-II riboswitch aptamer". The record is from RNAcentral.
GGGUAAAGCGAAAGCUUUGACCCAUAACCUAUACGUGGUCACCUUUUAGGUUAUGGAGAGCUAGUGGUGAAACCGGUCGCAUUUUUU